AUGUCACUUUUAAAAGAUAUAAAUUCAAUUGAUAUUGUUCCAUCCUAGCUAAACUGGAUGGAUAUUUGCCUGAUAACAUUCCAUCCUUGGUAGACCAAGUCUGAACGAUACUUAUUAUAGGAGUUAUUAAUGUAUCUCUAACUCAUUAUUAAUGCAUCUCUGACUCAUCAUUAUUGUGCCGCUGAUAUUCUAUUUGUUACGCCGCCUGCAAAUUCUACCUAUUCCGACAAAUAAACAAUAGCAGACUUGCAGGGUGGUUAAGGACAACCUAGUAUACGCUUAUCAUAUAUAGUACCUGCUGAACUACAACCAACCAAUGACCAGAUGCAACGUCCAC
RNAcentral lists this long non-coding RNA (337 nucleotides) under Lupinus angustifolius (narrow-leaved blue lupine). Its description in RNAcentral is "long non-coding RNA (LANG_LNC002077)". Lineage: Eukaryota; Viridiplantae; Streptophyta; Magnoliopsida; Fabales; Fabaceae. The record is from RNAcentral.